AGUGAACGCUGGCGGUAUGCCUAACACAUGCAAGUCGAACGGCAGCACAGUAAGAUCUUGCUCUUACGGGUGGCGAGUGGCGGACGGGUGAGGAAUACAUCGGAAUCUACUUUUUCUUGGGGGAUAACGUAGGGAAACUUACGCUAAUACCGCAUACGACCUACGGGUGAAAGCAGUGGAUCUUCGGACCUUGCGCGAUUGAAUGAGCCGAUGUCGGAUUAGCUAGUUGGCGGGGUAAGGGCCCACCAAGGCGACGAUCCGUAGCUGGUCUGAGAGGAUGAUCAGCCACACUGGAACUGAGACACGGUCCAGACUCCUACGGGAGGCAGCAGUGGGGAAUCUUCGACAAUGGGCGAAAGCCUGACCCAGCAAUGCCGCGUGGGUGAUGAAGGCCUUCGGGUUGUAAAGCCCUGUUGUUGGGAAAGAAAAGCAGCAGGUUAAUCCACCGCUGUUCUGACGGUACCCAAAGAAUAAGCACCGGCUAACUUCGUG
This 492-nucleotide ribosomal RNA is filed under the name uncultured bacterium. Its description in RNAcentral is "partial 16S ribosomal RNA". It matches the Rfam family "Bacterial small subunit ribosomal RNA", at positions 29 to 507 of the family's 1533-position model. The record is from RNAcentral.